This 497-nucleotide ribosomal RNA is filed under the name uncultured bacterium. Its description in RNAcentral is "partial 16S ribosomal RNA". It matches the Rfam family "Bacterial small subunit ribosomal RNA", at positions 28 to 507 of the family's 1533-position model. The record is from RNAcentral.
GACGAACGCUGGCGGCGUGCCUAAUACAUGCAAGUAGAACGCUGAAGAGAGGAGCUUGCUCUUCUUGGAUGAGUUGCGAACGGGUGAGUAACGCGUAGGUAACCUGCCUUGUAGCGGGGGAUAACUAUUGGAAACGAUAGCUAAUACCGCAUAACAAUGGAUGACACAUGUCAUUUAUUUGAAAGGGGCAAUUGCUCCACUACAAGAUGGACCUGCGUUGUAUUAGCUAGUAGGUGAGGUAAUGGCUCACCUAGGCGACGAUACAUAGCCGACCUGAGAGGGUGAUCGGCCACACUGGGACUGAGACACGGCCCAGACUCCUACGGGAGGCAGCAGUAGGGAAUCUUCGGCAAUGGGGGCAACCCUGACCGAGCAACGCCGCGUGAGUGAAGAAGGUUUUCGGAUCGUAAAGCUCUGUUGUAAGUCAAGAACGGGUGUGAGAGUGGAAAGUUCACACUGUGACGGUAGCUUACCGGAAAGGGACGGCUAACUACGUG